UAAACGAACCGGUAGGUGAAAUCGUGCAACAGAUGUUUUUAAAGGCUUUUAUAUGUUUACUUAAAAUUUUAAAUAUAAUAAUUAUUAAAAAGUAUAUUAAACGUCUAUAUUUUUUCCUAUAUUUUAUAUAAAUUUUUAAGUGAUCCGGGAUUUAAAUCCGGUCGAUCCGGUCCAACCUUUGACCCCGUAAGGUGACCGGGUCGACCUCCGGUCCGGUCCUGAAAAAUUGGUUAGUAAUUAGAGGGGGUGUAUUUAGUAGCACCCGAACUUAAACUCUUCUAGGUUAUUCCCCGAAAAAAAAAGUCCGAUUAAUCAUUUCUUUUUGAAAAUGAACUUAAACUCUUCUGGGUUAUAUGGAUACCAGUCUUGUCAUCCAGGAAUUUAUUCCCUCCGCCUCUUCUACACCACCGAUAACCCUAACCUAGCGUCAUUAUUCCUAAUACAAAAUGAAAACCAGAAAAAGAUCUCAUGAAAGCUCAACUUCUCAUUGCUCAUCAAAUUGCAAAAGGAAAAAGAUGGAUGAUUUGGAAUGGUGUCAGCAUGAUGAAAAAUUCUUGACACUGUUAGCCAAUGUGCGCGACGAAGAAGAAGUGUCUAUGGGGACACAUACCAAUAAUGCAUUUUAUAAAAAAAUUUGCUGCUAGACUUUCAGCCGAUGCAGGUGUUUCUAUAUCAGAUAAUGAUGUUGCUGAUCGUGUGCGGCAUCAUAGAAGUGUUUAUAACAGUUAUAAGGUGAGUUUUUAUCAAAGUCAAGCUUAAAACUGGUUGCUAAAAAUGUACAUCUUUUGUGAUUUGCAGCCUGACCCGGAUAAAUUCCAGCAUGCUUUUAUUAACAGUUCUGAAUACUGCCAGUUGCUUACAAGAUGCUUCGCUGUUGCGAAGAAGAACAUAAGAGUCCCGCGAAAUCUGGGAAGUAGGCCAUCUCACAGUUUUGGUAGCACUUCCUCCAUAGCUCGAACUGCAGCUCCGGUAGCCACCGACCCCCAAUUAACAUUGGAGGACGAGCUUGCCCGUGUUCUUUCACACCUACAUAGCCAACAUGGAAUGCAUGCCAACACAUUAACGCUCUUUUCAUCUUACUGUGAGAGAAAUCGGUUGGCUAGUCUAGCGUUUUUGAAGUUGGUAGGGCAGUUAUAACAAUUAAAAGAGCUGUGGGGGACUGGGACUCUUGCUGCUGUCUUCCUCUUCAAGGUUCAAGCUGUAUGUUUGUAUUUCAAAUGGAGUUAAGACAAUUUCUAAAUUUUUAAGACAAUUUUUAAUGUUUUUAGCUGUAUGUUCUAAGGUACCUGUAGUUAUGGUGUCAAUUUUUAAGACAAUUUUUAAUGUUU
This is a long non-coding RNA of Helianthus annuus (common sunflower), 1328 nucleotides long. RefSeq lists it as uncharacterized. The transcript has 3 exons. Lineage: Eukaryota; Viridiplantae; Streptophyta; Magnoliopsida; Asterales; Asteraceae. The record is from RefSeq and is a predicted model, not a curated record.